AGCAGCCGCGGUAAUUCCAGCUCCAAUAGCGUAUAUUAAAGUUGUUGCAGUUAAAAGCUCGUAGUUGAAUUUCGGGAUCAAUUAAUCGGUCGUGCCUCUGGUACGCACUGGUUUUAUUGGUUUCUCCCUUCUGACGAACCAGGAUGUCAUUAAUUUGGUGUCUUGGAGAAUCAGGACUGUUACUUUGAAAAAUUAGAGUGUUUAUAGCAGGCUAACGCUUGAAUACAUUAGCAUGGAAUAAUGAAAUAGGACGUUUGAUCCUAUUUUGUUGGUUUCUAGGAUCGACGUAAUGAUUAAUAGGGAUAGUUGGGGGCAUUAGUAUUCAAUUGUCAGAGGUGAAAUUCUUGGAUUUAUUGAAGACUAACUACUGCGAAAGCAUUUGCCAAGGAUGUUUUCAUUAAUCAAGAACGAAAGUUAGGGAUCGAAGACGAUCAGAUACCGUCGUAGUCUUAACCAUAAACUAUGCCGACUAGGGAUCGGAUGAUGUUAAUUUUUAAUGACUCAUUCGGCGCCUUAAC
Molecule: unclassified non-coding RNA, 518 nt
Filed under: uncultured Glomus
Lineage: Eukaryota; Fungi; Glomeromycota; Glomeromycetes; Glomerales; Glomeraceae
Description: SSU rRNA
Rfam family: Eukaryotic small subunit ribosomal RNA
Source: RNAcentral